RNAcentral lists this non-coding RNA (20 nucleotides) under Arabidopsis thaliana (thale cress). Lineage: Eukaryota; Viridiplantae; Streptophyta; Magnoliopsida; Brassicales; Brassicaceae. The record is from RNAcentral.
GGGGAGGGUCGAAUCUUAGC